This 427-nucleotide ribosomal RNA is filed under the name uncultured beta proteobacterium. RNAcentral's name for it is "bacterial SSU rRNA". It matches the Rfam family "Bacterial small subunit ribosomal RNA", at positions 355 to 774 of the family's 1533-position model. The record is from RNAcentral. Lineage: Bacteria; Pseudomonadati; Pseudomonadota; Betaproteobacteria.
UGGGGACUUUUGGACAAUGGGCGAAAGCCUGAUCCAGCCAUGCCGCGUGAGUGAAGAAGGCCUUCGGGUUGUAAAGCUCUUUUAGUCGGAAAGAAAAGAUCAUAAUGAACAAUUAUGAUUCAUGACGGUACCGACAGAAAAAGCACCGGCUAACUACGUGCCAGCAGCCGCGGUAAUACGUAGGGUGCGAGCGUUAAUCGGAAAUACUGGGCGUAAAGGGUGCGCAGGCGGUUUUGUAAGUCAGAUGUGAAAUCCCCGGGCUUAACCUGGGAAUUGCGUUUGAAACUGCAAGACUAGAGUGCAGCAGAGGGGAGUGGAAUUCCAUGUGUAGCAGUGAAAUGCGUAGAGAUGUGGAAGAACACCGAUGGCGAAGGCAGCUCCCUGGGUUGACACUGACGCUCAUGCACGAAAGCGUGGGGAGCAAACA